This 102-nucleotide microRNA precursor is filed under the name Caenorhabditis briggsae. Its description in RNAcentral is "miRNA-2225". Lineage: Eukaryota; Metazoa; Nematoda; Chromadorea; Rhabditida; Rhabditidae. The record is from RNAcentral.
AAGUCCCUCUCUUUGUCACCGCUUCCUUCCUUGCGCACACCUAAUUCCAGUAGUAAAGGAUGUGGCAAGACAGGCAGCGGUAGAUAAGGGAGAUUGAGACAA